AUUGAACGCUGGCGGCAUGCUUUACACAUGCAAGUCGAACGGGCUGGGGGCAACUCCAGUCAGUGGCGAACGGGUGAGUAAUGCAUCGGAACGUGUCCCGUAGUGGGGGAUAACCCGGCGAAAGCCGGACUAAUACCGCAUAUGCUCUACGGAGGAAAGUGGGGGACCGCAAGGCCUCACGCUAUGGGAGCGGCCGAUGUCCGAUUAGCUUGUUGGUGGGGUAAUGGCCUACCAAGGCGACGAUCGGUAGCUGGUCUGAGAGGAUGAUCAGCCACACUGGGACUGAGACACGGCCCAGACUCCUACGGGAGGCAGCAGUGGGGAAUUUUGGACAAUGGGGGCAACCCUGAUCCAGCCAUGCCGCGUGCGGGAAGAAGGCCUGGU
RNAcentral lists this ribosomal RNA (384 nucleotides) under uncultured bacterium. RNAcentral's name for it is "bacterial SSU rRNA". It matches the Rfam family "Bacterial small subunit ribosomal RNA", at positions 29 to 420 of the family's 1533-position model. The record is from RNAcentral.